UUAAUUUAAUAAUAUUAAAAUUAUUUUAAAAAAUAAGAAAUUUUGAGCUUCACUUUUAAUCAAAAUUAAAUUAAUUAAAAAUAAUAUUAAUUAUACCUUCAAUUUAUUUUUUCAAGAAAAAAAAUUACGUAUCAAAUUUAUAUGUUAUUCAAAAUGAAAAUUGUCGGCAACCAGUAGAGAUAGUUCAUUGGGUCAGUGUGUUGUUGUCCUGUUCUUUUAGCUCAUGACGUUUAGACUCCUACAUUAUAAGGAAUUAAAAUUAUAUUUUUGUUAAUAGUUUAAACUUUUAGUACAGUGAUAAGUAUUUCAUCCUAAAAAAAUAAUAUCAAUAAUUAAAUAAUAUAAUUAAGCACAUUAUUAAGAAUUUAUAUCUCUACUAUAUUUAAGAAAAAAAUUGCAUUUGUUGUUCAUUAGUGGGCAAGAAAGCCUCUACAACAACAGCUGCUAUUAUAAUUUUUUUGGGGUCCCUUGAGGUUAGGCUGUUCAUGUAUCCCCACUAAAAAAAGUCAAUAAUUUGUGGCGUGAAAAAAAAAAAAAAAAAAAAA
Molecule: unclassified non-coding RNA, 545 nt
Filed under: Hevea brasiliensis (rubber tree)
Lineage: Eukaryota; Viridiplantae; Streptophyta; Magnoliopsida; Malpighiales; Euphorbiaceae
Source: RNAcentral